Molecule: non-coding RNA, 4192 nt
Organism: Rattus norvegicus (Norway rat)
Lineage: Eukaryota; Metazoa; Chordata; Mammalia; Rodentia; Muridae
Source: RefSeq, a predicted model, not a curated record
UCCACAGUUACCAGGUUUGCCUGACGCUAUUUAGGGAGCUGCUUGCCCCCUCCUCUCCCUUUGCUCUCUCUGCUCUCCUGCCCUCUUCCCCUUUGUCCCUUUUACCCCGCCCCCCUCCUUCCACAUGCUUAUGGCCGGCCUUUACUUCUCCCCUCUUCUACUCUUCUUCUCUCGUUAAACCUUUCCACGUGGAACCAUGUUGGCUUGUUGUGGUCUGGCGGGACACGAGCCGAGAUUUAAACCCCAACAAUUAUGAAUACUUGGGUUACAAGAACAUCAUCACCAUGACCAGCUUUCGGGAGCAGCCAUGAUAGCUGGGGCCGUUCUCUGCAGCAUGACUUCCCAUAUGAUGUGCUCCUGCAGCCACCUUCCUGCCAGCCCAGUACAGGGACACACGUCUUCAGCUGGACAGUGUCUCACUCUAUAAAGAAGGACCAAGACUUGAGCUGGCCACCUCUCCCUUUCCAGAUUCAUGCAUGAUGCCAACCUGGGUUACUACAGAGCGGUGCCAACUUUAACACUACUGGUGGUUCUCAUGUGUGGUACCCAAUUAACCUAAGGAAUACAGAGUGCAGUGCGCAAACUCAGGCAUCAUGAAUCUUUUGACAUCCUGGGAGAGGCCUGCCAGGUUAGCUAGAGUCUGUGUGAGCAUCCAGGCUCCACAUUUGCCGAUUCCAAUUACCAUCUGACUGUGUGUUUAAAGCAGCCCUGUCAACACUGCUUAGAUCUAAAGAUGGAGUUCAGUGAAUUCCUGUUGUUAAAGUCAUCCAGUCUGUGUUGUUCCGCUAUCCAGCCCUAAUAAGUAAAUACAACCAUGAUCAUAUGACUUGAAGAUUAUUCCCAGCACACACCCAUGUACCCACCUUAUCUAUAUCCAUCCAUCGCUGGGCCAGAGAUAUUCCCAAGAGACUAUUGGUCUUGUUGGUUUGGCUAUUCACUUCAAUGUUGUUUUCUAACACACAUGCAUAGACACACAGACACACACACACAGACACACACACACACACACACAGAGAGAGAGAGAGAGAGAGAGAGAGAGAGAGAGAGAGAGAGAGAGAGAGCUCAACCAUAUUCUUUUCUUGUCCCUUCUAGGCCAAGAUUCCACUUUACAUUCUCAGGGGACAUAUUAGGAUCUUUUACUCGUGGAAUUUGAAAAACAUCCAUUAAGUACUUAACUAUAUACCAGACAUGCUAAGUGGUGGAGUUUUAAAAUGUCUACUGUAAUCCUCAUUUUUGAAGCCCUUAGUCUCUGGGGAGGGAGGAUUGAGCAAUUUUAAAGGCUCUGCUGGAGGAAGCCUUAGGGGUGUGGAAGUGGGAAAUGAGUAAUUUUGCCUGAGGGAGCUGGGGAAACCUGGGAGACAAAGGUGAGCUUGAGGCAAUGAGGAGGAGGUUAAAGACAAAGAGGAGGGAAAUUCUGCCUCAAAGAAAUUAAUUCACUCCAAAAUGCAGGCGCAGCAACUUGGAAGUCUGAAGACUUGGGCGAGGAGAAGACUCUCAGCCUGCCUCCUGAAAAUCAUGGCAAGAAAGCGCAAACUCCUCUUCUGGGCUCACACCCGGGUAUUGUGGGUUGGAGUUUCCUUAGGCUCUCUGAACAUCUUUGAAGCAAGAUGUUCUCUACAAACCAGAACCACCCACCCCAUUCCUGUGUGUUGGCUUUUUAAGAGCAAGUGGGGAUCCCAGAUAAGAGCUAGCACUCCCUCAUCUUUCCAGGGCCAGCUUUUCUCUCUGGAGAGCUGGCUGGAAACCAGAGAGGGAGAAAGGAGGUUUAAGCUAAUCCCUCACUUCAGCUCAGGGGAAGGUAGUAUUUUUACUGCCAUCUGUGGGUGCAGAGAUCACUCUGCCCUAACAGUAUCCUGAUGGUACCCUUACGGCUUUCUGUGUGGCCUCUCCAGUAUCUGUGUGUUUUGGCUGAUAAUCUUUGGCCUUCCUAUUUAUAGACUGUUUCUCUGCCAUUCACUUACAGCGUUUCUGUGGCCCAGCGUUCUGUGAGGUCCCAGCUGGCCUAUAGCAUGUAGCAGUCGUUAACACCAGAGCUGCUUUUUACAGCCUUCACCCUACGGUCUGGGUCAGCGCUCUGAGAUGAGUUUAAAACUGUUUGCAUCCAAAUGUAUACAUGUGGAGAGAAGAUGAGAAGGCUCACUUGUGUUAAAGGCCUUUCAAAAUUAAUAUAAAAAUAUAAAAGGACCCUAUUAGACAAAUGAUAAAAUGAUCAUUUUUGUCUUUUCAGGACACAAAAGAGUAAAGAAAUAUUUUGAGAGAGAGCAUUUCCUGAUCUAAACCAACCAAUGUUUAAUCUUAUGAUCCAUAGUAAGACGGCAGAAGUCUGAUAUCCAAGUACGGAACUUCUGCUUCAGUGUUUAGCAUCCGCUGUAACCACUGGCUAGCGUAUCUCCCUAUUCCAUAAUAAUCUGCUCCGCUGCUUUGACAGCCUUAACAAAUAACAGCUUCCAGGAGCUAUAUUUCACAUCCCACAUAAUUUGCUCCUUUUACAGCAGGCAAUUCAGUGGCCUCCAGGAUGCUCGCUGGCCGCUGAGCUCCAGUGGCACAGCUGGUUAGCGCCCGGCCCUUAGGCGGCUCCUUCACUAAACUGCGCAUGUGCCACCACUGUCUGUAUUAGAAUAUUCAUUACCCCAAAAGGAAAUCCGGAACCGUUAGCAUAGCUCUCUAUUUUCACCCGGAGCCUUCCUCUCAAGUCCUAGGCAACUGCUAACCAACUUUCUGUAGCUAUAGCUUGGGCUAUUCUGGCUGUUCCGUGUAAGUACUUAUACAAGACAUGGCCAUUUUGGCUGGGUUCUUUCAUUCUGCCGAAAGUUUUUACAGUUGAUCCAUGUUGUAGCACAUAGCAAUACUUUAGUUCCUUUUAUUACUAAUAAUACUCCAUGACAUGAUUAUAUCACGUCUAUUUAUCCAUUGUCAGUUAGUAGACAUUUGAGUUAUUUCAGUGUUUGAACUGUAUGUAUAAUGCUGGGUAAACUUUUGCAUUGGUGUGCCUUUUCAUGAGUUUCACAUGUCAUUUUGCUGGGUUUUUAACAUUGGACAGGGAUGGCUCCAGACUUCAUAAUUAAUUGGUUAUCAUUGCUCCAUAGACUCAGAUAAAAAGCCUGUCUUGUUGCUAACACUAACCACAUAAUUCAUUUGCCUAGCACAGGAGUUGAGUUAUUGCCCUGGAGAAAAACACUGAUGUAUAUGCUAUGUAGCAUUUCCUGUGAGAUAGAGGCUCCCAUCUUAGAGGGAAACUGGUUAAGACUCAUGAUGUUCUAAAGGAAGAUGAUACGUUGCUUCCUGUAGGGAAGCUCCUUAAAACUCAGGAAGUAAACAACUCAGUAGCUUCAGGAUGUCCCUGAAACUGAUAAUCUCUUCACUCUUCAAGCUUAUGCAAGUAGUAAAGAUUGCUGAGUGAGUGACACUUUCAGACCAGGCAAUCUGCCUAAGAGGCAGAGACCAGUCCAGCUACCCAGGAAGGACAAUCUCCAGCCUGCUGAGCUCCCUGCAGGGUAUUGAGCUUUCAUGUGCUGUCAUCCACUCAGGAGUGAGCUUUGCUACUGCCUCCUUUGAAUCAUUUCUGUUCCUGAAAGUAGCUCCUUCCUUAUUCACACUCCUGUUAGUUACCCCAGUGAACUUACUGGUUCACCAAGUUGGACUUUGGUAUUGCCCAUACUUUUGUGAAGUGGAAGUUUCUGGAUAUGUCAGGUAAUAUAGACUCACAUGCGAGCAGACUCACAUGUUGUUGUGCUAAGGGAAGACCCAUGGGAGCACACAUGCUGUUUGGAAAGAGUCUAAAUAGGACCCAAUGGACAAUGACAGCACACUUGCAAAGCUAGCUUUGCCACACUUUGUUGGUCAUGAGUCUUUAUCUUUGUUGACUUUUGCUUCAUUGAGAGAGACACAGCAGAGAAUUUCUCCUGGCAUCUGGCUGGUCCUGGUCACUAUUACUGACUCUUGUUGAUUUGGCUGAGGCCUGGUGGCUUCCGCUAGUUUAUGCCACUGCUUCUUAUUCAUGCUUGGUAUCCUGACAUUACCGAACUGGACUGCUGGUAUCCUGACAAAUGGAGACUGGAACGCCCUAAGGAACUACAUCCAAUUAAGUCCGCACCCCCUUGUCCUACUUACCAUCUUUUCUCCCCUUCCUUUUCUCCCUUUAGAAGGGAGGUUGAAGCAUUUGAGAGCCUUUAUUAAAAGUAGGUUUUUAAAA